Antechinus flavipes (yellow-footed antechinus) is the source of this 397-nucleotide long non-coding RNA. RefSeq lists it as uncharacterized. The transcript has 3 exons. NCBI's taxonomy places the organism in Eukaryota, Metazoa, Chordata, Mammalia, Dasyuromorphia, Dasyuridae. The record is from RefSeq and is a predicted model, not a curated record.
AUUGUCUUCGUUUUUCACAUGUGAUUUUUUAAAGAGCAGAGGAUGGCGCUGUGAUUGAUUAUGAGCUAAUUGACCAAGAUGCUCUGGAACUCUAUGAUGCAGGAGUGAAGAGGAAGGGAACUGAUGACCCUAAAUGGGUUAGUAUUAUGACUGAGAAGACUGUUUGCUACCUCUAGAAAGUAUUUGAACGGUACAAAAGCUACAGCCCUUAUGACAUGUUGGAGAGUAUCAAGAAGGCAAUCAAAGGAGACCUCGAAAAUGCCUUCCUCAACCUAGGUCAGCAAAUAUAUGUUACAUGGCUCCAUUUUACCUUUCCUGGAACAGUCCUAAAGUCUUAGUAUUUAAUCAGCCCGCCAAUUUAGAUGGAUAAUUGGAAGUUCUCAUUCUGAAUGUGAAU